Molecule: ribosomal RNA, 254 nt
Filed under: uncultured bacterium
Lineage: Bacteria
Description: partial 16S ribosomal RNA
Rfam family: Bacterial small subunit ribosomal RNA
Source: RNAcentral
UACGUAGGGUGCGAGCGUUAAUCGGAAUUACUGGGCGUAAAACGUGCGCAGGCGGUUAUUUAAGUCAGGUGGGAAAGCCCUGGGCUUAACCUAGGAAUUGCGCUUGAGACUGGAUAGCUUGGAGUGCGGCAGAGGGAGGUGGAAUUCCACGUGUAGCAGUGAAAUGCGUAGAUAUCCGGAGGAACACCAAUGGCGAAAGCAGGUACCUGGACCAUUACUGACACUCAGCUGCGAAAGCUAGGGGAGCAAACAGG